UCCGCUCUAGUCUUCAAAUUUACAAACUUCCCCACAAUUUUACAAUCGUCUGUCAAAAAUCCAAAUAUGAGCCAGUUUCUUUCCCCGCACUUUCUGGUGUUUUGGGUGAGAAAACCACAAUUUUCACCAAAGCUUUUAACCAUCCUCCUGCUGCGUGUUAAGUGAUCAAUUCUCAAAGUAGCCGAAGCAACUUCCCAUCUGCAAGCCCUCUCGAUUGAAGUUACAUAAAGACUGCAGCUGUUACUCUGAAAUCUGGAGAUUCUUAUCAAGCAAGCACACAUGAUUGUUAUCAAGAUCUCUUUGACCAAGUGGCUGGCCCGUCCAUUGGUGUGCUACCUGCCAUAUGAUUUCCAAACCUCUCGCCAUUGUCUCCUAGUGCCACUUCUUUCAAACUGAUAGUUCUGUACAUCUGUGUAUGUGCUAUAUGUGCUUCUUCCAUUAUGUUUCUUUCUGGCAUUCAUCCGCUCUUCUUCAAGAUCAUACUUUGAACGCUUAGUAGGAUCCGAAAGUACUGCAUAUGCCUCCCCAAUCAUUUUAAAAAGUCUGUCCGCAUGCUUGUGGAUUUCUUCUCCUAUCUCCUUCCAAAGCCCAUCAUCUCCAUUCUCACUUCUUGCCAAGGACUGACCAGCCUUGUCAGGAUGGUGCCUAAGUGCAGCUUUCCGAUAUGCCUUCUUAAUUUCUGAGGCUGAAGCAGAAGGUUCAACUCCCAAAAUGAGGUACAUAUCCAGAGGAAUCUUCUUUCUAGCUGCUUCUUCAAUC
Molecule: unclassified non-coding RNA, 759 nt
Filed under: Hevea brasiliensis (rubber tree)
Lineage: Eukaryota; Viridiplantae; Streptophyta; Magnoliopsida; Malpighiales; Euphorbiaceae
Source: RNAcentral